UUGAACGCUGGCGGCAGGCCUAACACAUGCAAGUCGAGCGGUUGAGAGUAGCUUGCUACUUGAUGCAGCGGCGGACGGGUGAGUAACGCGUGGGAAUCUGCCCAGUAGUGGGGGACAACAGCCGGAAACGGCUGCUAAUACCGCAUACGCCCUACGGGGGAAAGGGGGGGGAUCUUAGGACAUCCCGCUAUUGGAUGAGCCCGCGUCGGAUUAGCUAGUUGGUAGGGUAAAGGCCUACCAAGGCUACGAUCCGUAACUGGUCUGAGAGGAUGAUCAGUCACACUGGAACUGAGACACGGUCCAGACUCCUACGGGAGGCAGCAGUGGGGAAUAUUGGACAAUGGGGGAAACCCUGAUCCAGCCAUGCCGCGUGUGUGAAGAAGGCCUUAGGGUUGUAAAGCACUUUCAGUGGGGAGAAAGGUUUGUCACCUAAUGCGUGAUGAAAUUGAUGUUACCCACAGAAGAAGCACCGGCUAACUCCGUGCCAGCCGCCGCAGUAA
This 500-nucleotide ribosomal RNA is filed under the name uncultured bacterium. RNAcentral describes it as "partial 16S ribosomal RNA". It matches the Rfam family "Bacterial small subunit ribosomal RNA", at positions 30 to 523 of the family's 1533-position model. The record is from RNAcentral.